This 73-nucleotide transfer RNA is filed under the name Prochlorococcus marinus str. MIT 9201. RNAcentral describes it as "tRNA-Ala". It matches the Rfam family "tRNA". From Rfam's summary of the family: Transfer RNA (tRNA) molecules are approximately 80 nucleotides in length. Their secondary structure includes four short double-helical elements and three loops (D, anti-codon, and T loops). Lineage: Bacteria; Bacillati; Cyanobacteriota; Cyanophyceae; Synechococcales; Prochlorococcaceae. RNAcentral also lists the same sequence under 1 other name. The record is from RNAcentral.
GGGGCCAUAGCUCAGCUGGUAGAGUACCUGCAUGGCAUGCAGGGGGUCAGGGGUUCAAAUCCCCUUGGCUCCA